Molecule: transfer RNA, 71 nt
Filed under: Phrynosoma platyrhinos (Desert horned lizard)
Lineage: Eukaryota; Metazoa; Chordata; Lepidosauria; Squamata; Phrynosomatidae
Description: tRNA-OTHER
Source: RNAcentral
GCCAGCUUGGCAUAGUGGUUUGAGCAUUGAACUGUGACUCUGGAGACCAGGGUUCAAAUCCCUGCUUGGCC